Molecule: ribosomal RNA, 302 nt
Filed under: uncultured bacterium
Lineage: Bacteria
Description: partial 16S ribosomal RNA
Rfam family: Bacterial small subunit ribosomal RNA
Source: RNAcentral
GCAGUAGCCGCGGGAAUACGUGGGGUGCGAGCGUUAAUCGGAAUUACUGGGCGUAAAGCGUGCGCAGGCGGUUGUGUAAGACAGGUGUGAAAUCCCCGGGCUUAACCUGGGAACUGCGCUUGUGACUGCACAGCUAGAGUAUGGCAGAGGGGGGUGGAAUUCCACGUGUAGCAGUGAAAUGCGUAGAGAUGUGGAGGAACACCGAUGGCGAAGGCAGCCCCCUGGGCCAAUACUGACGCUCAUGCACGAAAGCGUGGGGAGCAAACAGGAUUAGAUACCCCGGUAGUCCCUGUCUCUUAUAC